Molecule: non-coding RNA, 416 nt
Organism: Lupinus albus (white lupine)
Lineage: Eukaryota; Viridiplantae; Streptophyta; Magnoliopsida; Fabales; Fabaceae
Source: the annotation of a GenBank genome assembly
GAGCUAGCAAGGCUCUCCGAGAAUUUAGAACCAAUUGCGGGAAAUGUCUCAGAGAUGCUGAAGGCAAUGUCAACCUCAAGCCUCUAGCCAAAUAUGCAAAUCUCAUUGAUGAGGCGGAUUGGAUAGAAUUUGUCAAUUAUCGCACACAAGACGAAAAAUUCUUGAAAAUCAGUGAACAAAACUGUAAGAGAGCAUCUAACCCGAUUUAUCCUUAUAGAGCUUCUCGAAUGGGCUAUAGUGGAGUUGAAGAAAAAAUUCUCGAACAAAGCGAGACACCUUCGAGUGCUGCCAUAGACCUCGAUGUUCUGUUGGUGGAUGCUCAGAAGAACAAACAAGGUAUUGUCGAUAAUGAAAAAGUUCAAGAAGUGGUGGACCGUGUUGUUACCCUAAAAGAAAUGGAAAGUUUCCGUACCGCG